This 266-nucleotide ribosomal RNA is filed under the name uncultured Staphylococcus sp. RNAcentral's name for it is "partial 16S ribosomal RNA". It matches the Rfam family "Bacterial small subunit ribosomal RNA", at positions 96 to 354 of the family's 1533-position model. Lineage: Bacteria; Bacillati; Bacillota; Bacilli; Caryophanales; Staphylococcaceae. The record is from RNAcentral.
CGGCGGACGGGUGAGUAACACGUGGAUAACCUACCUAUAAGACUGGGAUAACUUCGGGAAACCGGAGCUAAUACCGGAUAAUAUAUUGAACCGCAUGGUUCAAUAGUGAAAGACGGUUUUGCUGUCACUUAUAGAUGGAUCCGCGCUGCAUUAGCUAGUUGGUAAGGUAACGGCUUACCAAGGCAACGAUGCGUAGCCGACCUGAGAGGGUGAUCGGCCACACUGGAACUAAGACACGGUCCAGACUCCUACGGGAGGCAGCAGAG